CUUCGGUCAGUGGGCACCGGCGCACGGGUGAGUAACGCGUGGGAACCUACCCAGGGGUGGGGGAUAACCGCUGGAAACGGCGGCUAAUACCGCAUACGCCUUUUUGAGGGAAAGAUUUAUCGCCCUUGGAUGGGCCCGCGUUGGAUUAGGUAGUUGGUGGGGUAAAGGCCUACCAAGCCUACGAUCUAUAGCUGGUCUGAGAGGAUGAUCAGCCACACUGGGACUGAGACACGGCCCAGACUCCUACGGGAGGCAGCAGUGGGGAAUCUUGGACAAUGGGGGCAACCCUGAUCCAGCCAUGCCGCGUGAGUGAAGAAGGCCUUAGGGUUGUAAAGCUCUUUCAACGGUGAAGAUGAUGACUGUAGCCGUAGAAGAAGCCCCGGCUAACUCCGUGCCAGCAGCCGCGGUAAUACGGAGGGGGCAAGCGUUGUUCGGAAUUACUGGGCGUAAAGGGCGUGUAGGCGGCCAAACAAGUCAGAGGUGAAAGCCCUGGGCUCAACCUGGGAACUGCCUUUGAAACUGUUUGGCUUGAGACCGGAAGAGGAUGGCGGAAUUCCCAGUGUAGAGGUGAAAUUCGUAGAUAUUGGGAAGAACACCGGUGGCGAAGGCGGCCAUCUGGUCCGGUUCUGACGCUGAGGCGCGAAAGCGUG
RNAcentral lists this ribosomal RNA (650 nucleotides) under Limibacillus halophilus. Its description in RNAcentral is "bacterial SSU rRNA". It matches the Rfam family "Bacterial small subunit ribosomal RNA", at positions 78 to 763 of the family's 1533-position model. Lineage: Bacteria; Pseudomonadati; Pseudomonadota; Alphaproteobacteria; Rhodospirillales; Rhodovibrionaceae. The record is from RNAcentral.